GAGACCUUAGUUUAAAGGUAAAAUACGAGACUUUUAAUCUUUGUUAUAUGGGUUCGAAUCCCAUAGGUCUUA
Molecule: transfer RNA, 72 nt
Filed under: Sclerotinia nivalis
Lineage: Eukaryota; Fungi; Ascomycota; Leotiomycetes; Helotiales; Sclerotiniaceae
Also listed under: 1 other name
Rfam family: tRNA
About the family: Transfer RNA (tRNA) molecules are approximately 80 nucleotides in length. Their secondary structure includes four short double-helical elements and three loops (D, anti-codon, and T loops).
Source: Rfam by way of RNAcentral